Molecule: unclassified non-coding RNA, 1562 nt
Filed under: Hevea brasiliensis (rubber tree)
Lineage: Eukaryota; Viridiplantae; Streptophyta; Magnoliopsida; Malpighiales; Euphorbiaceae
Source: RNAcentral
UGUGGAUGAUUUUCGUGAUUAUGCGGAGUUAUGCUUUAAAACCUUUGGUGAUAGAGUGAAGCACUGGGUCACUGUCAAUGAGCCUAAUUUAAUGAGUAUAUAUGGAUAUGCAUAUGGAUACAAUGCACCAGGUCGGUGUUCGGAUUAUGUCGGAAACUGCACCGAAGGCAACUCUGCAACAGAACCAUACAUAGUAGUCCACCACUUGAUUCUUUGCCAUGCAGCUGCUGUGAAAUUGUAUAGAGAAAAGUACCAGGUUUUUUUACUUAUUUUUAUUUAUCAAAGGAAUGAAUGUCUUGUAAUCAAUGUUGUGACACAAUUGAUUAAAUGAAAAUUUAGGCUUCUCAAGGAGGAAUUAUUGGGAUUACUGUUUUUACGGCAUGGGCAGUUCCUAAAUAUGAUGAUGUUUCUAGCAGGAAAGCUGCCUCCAGAGCUCUUGAUUUCUUGAUCGGAUGGAUUGUGCAUCCAAUCACUUAUGGUGACUACCCAGUAACCAUGCGAUAUUUGGUGGGUAAUAGACUUCCUGAAUUUACAGAAAAACAAGCAAAAAUGGUGAUAGGGUCUUUUGAUUUCAUUGGAAUAAAUUACUAUACAGCAUCAUAUGCAGAAGACAUUACAUUUUAUAGCAGCGUCAAUCUGAGUUAUACAACCGAUAGCCGAGUUAAUAAAACAACUGGGAAGAAUGGAAUUCCUAUUGGUGAACCAACUGGUUGCAGCUGGCUAUACAUAUACCCAAAAGGAAUUUAUAAACUUCUGCUGUAUCUAAAGAGAAAAUACAAUCAUCCUGCCAUUUACAUCACAGAGAACGGUAAAAACAUACUCAAGUUUGUCAAGAACGUGCUUGAUUGAUUCAAUUCUUGAUUGGUUAAGAUUUCAGAAUUUUUGUUGCAAUAUUUCUGGUUUUCUUUUCCUCAGGAAUGGGAGACAGUAGCUCAUUGUCACUUGCUAAUGCUCUAGAAGAUAAGUUAAGGAUAAAAUAUCACCAUCUUCAUCUACUAUCUAUCUUAAAAGCUGUUAAGUAAGUUUAGGCGUUGACAAAUCCAUCUUUAUUAUAUCUGAUUGAACAGAAAUUGAUUUUUAUACUGAUGCAGCCUGAUAUGAUUUCUUGGCAGGGAAGGUGUUGAUGUGAGAGGAUACUAUAUUUGGUCAUUUCUUGAUGACUUCGAAUGGGAUUUGGGUUAUACUAUUCGGUUUGGAAUCACUUAUGUAGAUUACAGAAAUGAAUUAAAAAGAUAUCUCAAACAAUCUGCUUUGUGGUUCAAGAAAUUCCUCCAAAAGAAGAAUAGAAUCACUGCAUCUUCAUUGUUGUACUCAGAAUGAUUAAAUUUUUUUUAAAAAAAUGUCAAUUACCUCUCAAUUCUUAAUCAUUACUUAUGCUAAUUUUCAGUGAAAAUACAUAAGUGUGUUGAGCUCAUUUGGGAAAGGAAAUGUCGAGUUCUUCUCCUUCUUCUCUAUCUUCACAGCAAUUUCAUACUCUGCGAUUGCUGAAGCAUACCUGAAAAGAAAAUGAACCAUAUGUUGAUCAGUAGUAUGCUAUUAAUGAAUUCUUUGAUCUCUUGUCC